This 2044-nucleotide ribosomal RNA is filed under the name Bacteroides fragilis. RNAcentral's name for it is "bacterial LSU rRNA". It matches the Rfam family "Bacterial large subunit ribosomal RNA", at positions 14 to 2069 of the family's 2925-position model. Lineage: Bacteria; Pseudomonadati; Bacteroidota; Bacteroidia; Bacteroidales; Bacteroidaceae. The record is from RNAcentral.
AGGGCGCAUGGCGGAUGCCUUGGCUCUCGGAGGCGAUGAAGGACGUGAUAAGCUGCGAUAAGCUUCGGGUAGGUGCAAAUAACCUUUGAUCCGAAGAUUUCCGAAUGGGACAACCCGGCAUUCUGAAGGAAUGUCAUCCAACUUGGUUGGAGGCUAACGCAGGGAACUGAAACAUCUUAGUACCUGCAGGAAAAGAAAAUAAAUAAUGAUUCCCCUAGUAGUGGCGAGCGAACGGGGAUUAGCCCAAACCACCCAUGUUACGGCAUGUGUGGGGUUGUAGGACCACGCUCUCGCAAGACAGUUAUUGAGAAGAAACGGCUGGAAAGUCGUGCCAUAGACGGUGAUAGCCCGGUAUUCUAAGGUAACCGAAGCGUAGUGGUAUCCUGAGUAGCGCGGAGCACGAGGAAUUCUGCGUGAAUCAGCCGGGACCAUCCGGUAAGGCUAAAUACUCCCGAGAGACCGAUAGCGAACCAGUACUGUGAAGGAAAGGUGAAAAGCACUUCGAAUAGAAGAGUGAAAUAGUCCCUGAAACCAUGCGCCUACAAGCGGUCGGAGCAGCUUUAGCUGUGACGGCGUGCCUUUUGCAUAAUGAACCUACGAGUUACUUUUUCCGGCAAGGUUAAGCAUCUUGAGAUGUGGAUCCGAAGCGAAAGCGAGUCUGAACAGGGCGGAUAGUCGGAAGGAGUAGACGCGAAACCAAGUGAUCUACCCUUGGGCAGGUUGAAGGUUAGGUAACACUAACUGGAGGACCGAACCGAUAAGCGUUGAAAAGCUUCCGGAUGACCUGAGGGUGGGGGUGAAAGGCUAAUCAAACUUGGAGAUAGCUCGUACUCCCCGAAAUGCAUUUAGGUGCAGCCUUGAGAGUUACUAAUGUGAGGUAGAGCGACUGAUAAGAUGCGAGGGCUUCACCGCCUAUCAAGUCUUGAUAAACUCCGAAUGCGCAUUAGUUCUAUCUCAGGAGUGAGGGCAUGGGUGCUAAGGUCCAUGUCCUAAAGGAGAAGAAUCCAGACCAUCAGCUAAGGUCCCCAAAUAAACACUAAGUUGAACUAACGAAGUCAGAUUGCUAAGACAGCUAGGAUGUUGGCUUGGAAGCAGCCAUUCAUUUAAAGAGUGCGUAACAGCUCACUAGUCGAGGAGUUUGGCGUGGAUAAUAAUCGGGCAUUAAGUGUUUUACCGAAGCUAUGGGAUACGUAAGUAUCGGUAGGGGAGCAUUCCACUCUGCGUUGAAGGCGAAGCGUGAGCUUUACUGGAGCGUGUGGAAAAGCAAAUGUAGGUAUAAGUAACGAUAAAGGGGGUGAGAAACCCCCUCGCCGCAAGACUAAGGUUUCCUGAUCAACGCUAAUCGGAUCAGGGUUAGUCGGGUCCUAAGGCUCAGCCGAACGGUGAGGCCGAUGGCAGAACAGGUUAAUAUUCCUGUACUACCUGUAGGAGUGAUGUGGAGACGGAGGAGUGACAACGCCGCGGACUGACGGAAUAGUCCGUUAAAGGGUGUAGAUGUUGAUUAUCCCAGGCAAAUCCGGGAUAAGAGUCGAACCUGACAGUAUACCAAUUUCCCCGGAAAACGGUAAUAGUGCGUGUAAACAUACUCCCAAGAAAAUCCGCUAAACUUAAUCUUACAGGUACCCGUACCGUAAACGGACACACGUAGUCGGGUUGAAUAUACUCAGGCGCUUGAGUGAAUCACGGUUAAGGAACUAGGCAAAUUGACCCUGUAACUUCGGGAUAAAGGGUCCCUACCCGGUGACGGGAGGGCGCAGAGAAUAGGUCCAGGCAACUGUUUAACAAAAACACAGGGCUGUGCAAAAUUGAAAGAUCACGUAUACAGCCUGACACCUGCCCGGUGCUGGAAGGUUAAGAGGAGAUGUCAUCGCAAGAGAAGCAUUGAAUUGAAGCCCCAGUAAACGGCGGCCGUAACUAUAACGGUCCUAAGGUAGCGAAAUUCCUUGUCGGGUAAGUUCCGACCUGCACGAAUGGUGUAAUGAUCUGGACACUGUCUCAACCGUGAGCUCAGUGAAAUUGUAGUAUCGGUGAAGAUGCCGAUUAC